AGAAAAUGGAAGGCCUGUUUCGCCGACCAGGUUAGACAGAGCUGGGUCACACUUCUGCUGCACCUGCAAGACCCGAACCCCAGGGUUUCAGUGGAAUGCAGAGCUACGUUUCACCUCUGUGUCCCGUUUUUGGGACUGAAGAGGCUCCAAACUGCCGUGAAUCAACACCUUGAUGGCACAGCCGAGCUGAAGCCUGAAGAGCUCCAGGUGGACAUUUGCAGACACCUUGCCAAAGAGAAUGCCGAGCUGCUGGAGAACUUGUACAAAAGCACCAUCAAGUACUUC
Chelonia mydas (Green sea turtle) is the source of this 285-nucleotide long non-coding RNA. RefSeq lists it as uncharacterized. The transcript has 3 exons. Lineage: Eukaryota; Metazoa; Chordata; Testudines; Cheloniidae. The record is from RefSeq and is a predicted model, not a curated record.